GGAGGGCAAUCUGACUGCAAGCUCUGUCCCCACGUUGAUCACUAGGGUUAAUUGGGCUGAUGUGGCUGGCUAGACAGUGUCUCCAUCGUCCCUCGCUGCUCCACGUGGCGAGGACACCUGCCUUGACAGAGGAGGAGUGCUUCUCUAUCGAGUGUUUACAGGUGGCUGCGCUCCCCUCCUAGGACCUCCAGACAAGCCCUCGUGGACCACUUGUAGGAAAAGGUAGGGUAGUCAAGCUUCCAUAACUCCAGACACACAGUCAGAUGAGGCUCGUGUCUUUCU
Mustela putorius furo (domestic ferret) is the source of this 282-nucleotide unclassified non-coding RNA. Its record names the gene 7SK. It matches the Rfam family "7SK RNA". Rfam says of the family: 7SK was discovered as an abundant small nuclear RNA in the mid-70s but a possible function has only recently been suggested. Two independent studies have found that 7SK RNA binds the CDK9/cyclin T complex (known as elongation factor P-TEFb). Lineage: Eukaryota; Metazoa; Chordata; Mammalia; Carnivora; Mustelidae. The record is from Ensembl.